GGAGGGUGGGCAGGACGGUAAUGCGCGGGUUUCGAAAACCCGUGGGAGCAAUCCCUAACAGGUUCGACUCCUGUAUCCUCCGCCA
This 85-nucleotide transfer RNA is filed under the name Candidatus Roizmanbacteria bacterium RIFOXYA1_FULL_37_12. RNAcentral's name for it is "tRNA-Ser". It matches the Rfam family "tRNA". From Rfam's summary of the family: Transfer RNA (tRNA) molecules are approximately 80 nucleotides in length. Their secondary structure includes four short double-helical elements and three loops (D, anti-codon, and T loops). Lineage: Bacteria; Candidatus Roizmaniibacteriota. The record is from RNAcentral. RNAcentral also lists the same sequence under 6 other names.